UCUUAAAUUUGAACGCUAUUGCGCUGCCGAUUUUUUCUGGGAGCAUACACANCAGAGUAUCAUCAAACCCACANCUAUAACAAUUUAUUGUAAUAGGCACUUGAAGUUGGCUUUGUUUAAGGCACUCCUUCUAAAUUAAUUCAAUGCAAGAGCAUGUUUACAUUGUAAUUUUCAUAGUAAAUAUGAGUUUGUNUAGAACAGUUAGCAUUCAGUUGUUAGCUAAGAUUCAUAUUCGAUCUCUGGCUGUGUAGGAAUACCCGCUGAAUUUAAGCAUAUUAAUAAGCGGAGGAAAAGAAACUAACAAGGAUUCUCUUAGUAAGGGCGACUGAAAGCGAGAAUAGCUCAAGAUGUUAAUUGAUGUGUCAUGCAUCGAAUUGUGGUCCUUUGAUAUUUGUGUUAAAGUGUGGAUGAAGUCUUCUGGAAAGGAGCGGCAAAGAGGGUGACACCCCCGUGAAUCUACGCUGUAUAACUUUUAUCAUUGAGUCGAGUUGCUUGGGAUUGCAGCUCUAAGUGGGUGGUAAAUUCCAUCUAAAGCUAAAUAUGGUUGGGAAACCGAUAGUGAACAAGUACCGUGAGGGAAAGAUGCAAAGAACUUUGAAAAGAGAGUUAAAGAGUACCUGAAAUUGCUGAAAGGGAAGCGAAGGAAACCAGUGUAUGUUAAAACAUAUUUGUCUUCUGGCUUGCUGGAAGACCGCUAUGCUUAACAAUGUCUUGGUUGGUUGGACUGGGAAAAAAUUUGUAGUUACUGUUAGUGAUCACAUAGUUUU
Molecule: ribosomal RNA, 767 nt
Filed under: uncultured diatom
Lineage: Eukaryota; Bacillariophyta
Description: eukaryotic LSU rRNA
Rfam family: Eukaryotic large subunit ribosomal RNA (bases 234-767)
Source: RNAcentral